ACCCGCUGAACUUAAGCAUAUCAAUAAGCGGAGGAAAAGAAACCAACAGGGAUUGCCCUAGUAACGGCGAGUGAAGCGGCAAUAGCUCAAAUUUGAAAUCUGGCCCACUUGCGGGGUCCGAGUUGUAAUUUGCAGAGGGUGCUUUGGCGUUGGCGGCGGUCCAAGUUCCUUGGAACCGGACGUCGUAGAGGGUGAGAAUCCCGUACGUGGCUGCCUGCCAUCGCCAUGUAAAGCCCCUUCGACGAGUCGAGUUGUUUGGGAAUGCAGCUCUAAACGGGAGGUAAAUUUCUUCUAAAGCUAAAUACUGGCCAGAGACCGAUAGCGCACAAGUAGAGUGAUCGAAAGAUGAAAAGCACUUUGGAAAGAGAGUCAAAUAGCACGUGAAAUUGUUGAAAGGGAAGCGCUUGCCGCCAGACUUGCCCGUGGUUGUCCUCUUCCGCGGGCAGGCCAGCAUCAGCUUAGGCGAUCGGAUAAUGGCCUCUGUCAUGUAUCUUCCUUCGGGUUGACCUUAUAGGGGAGUCGUAAUGCGAUCAGCCUGGGCUGAGGUCCGCGCAUCUGCUAGGAUGCUGGCGUAAUGGCUGUAAGCGGCCCGUCUUGAAACACGG
RNAcentral lists this ribosomal RNA (605 nucleotides) under uncultured fungus. RNAcentral's name for it is "LSU rRNA". It matches the Rfam family "Eukaryotic large subunit ribosomal RNA", at positions 23 to 664 of the family's 3401-position model. Lineage: Eukaryota; Fungi. The record is from RNAcentral.